UACAAUUUGAUGUAUGAUGCAUGAAGAAUUUUGAUUUCUUUUGUCUUAGUUUAAUUCUGAGGUUUGUAA
RNAcentral lists this transfer RNA (69 nucleotides) under Metcalfa pruinosa. Its description in RNAcentral is "tRNA-Gln". Lineage: Eukaryota; Metazoa; Arthropoda; Insecta; Hemiptera; Flatidae. The record is from RNAcentral.